UACGUAGGUGGCAAGCGUUGUCCGGAAUUAUUGGGCGUAAAGCGCGCGCAGGCGGUUCCUUAAGUCUGAUGUGAAAGCCCACGGCUCAACCGUGGAGGGUCAUUGGAAACUGGGGGAACUUGAGUGCAGGAGAGAAGAGUGGAAUUCCACGUGUAGCGGUGAAAUGCGUAGAGAUGUGGAGGAACACCAGUGGCGAAGGCGACUCUUUGGCCUGUAACUGACGCUGAGGCGCGAAAGCGUGGGGAGCAAACAGG
This 254-nucleotide ribosomal RNA is filed under the name uncultured bacterium. RNAcentral's name for it is "partial 16S ribosomal RNA". It matches the Rfam family "Bacterial small subunit ribosomal RNA", at positions 524 to 776 of the family's 1533-position model. The record is from RNAcentral.